CUCCUGUGUGUUCCAGGGAUGAGGGAUUCACCGUCGAAAAAUGUUCGCAUUUCAACCUGAUCAUUUUCAAGUUUCUUUCACACUGAAAUGAAGUGCAUGACUCAGGUCACACUCCUGCAUCCUUAUGUGACAUAUGAUCUGAGUUGUCCUGAAAAAAUAGAUGUUAUGGACUGUGUUUUUUUUUCAAAAGGAAAAAGCAAAGGUGUGAAACAAAAAUCAGUUUCCAGCAGCUGUUGGUGGUAAAGUGUCCAGUGCCCACCACAGCCAGAGAGAAAGCUGCUGAAUAUUUUGAAUUUCCCUCGGGAUUAAUAAAGCGUCUGUCCGUCGAGUCGUCGGAUCCUCUUGAUCCUCAUCAGGGUCAUGGGGGGCUGGAGUCUAUCCCAGCUGACUGCGGGUGAAGGCAGGGGACACCUGGACAGGGGGAGGUGGUGCACUGGCUGGCCUGUUGGCUGGAUGCAGCCUGCAGGAAGGGCUCCACUCCCACAGUGGGUAAAGGACUGAUGGAGGGAGGAUCCUUCACUCGUCCAAACUCAGGUCAGACGCUGGCGCCUCUGCAGGACAAUAAUCCAGUAAAACCUGCCUCUGAAUACGGCCCAAUGCAUAAAAACACUCAACUAUUUUAAAUAACUAAUGGAUUCUGGUUAAAUGUCUUUUAUUCUUUUAAAGCUGUGUAAUCCUUCAAACUACUGGAUCAUGAACUAUGUGUUUGCAAACUCAGGCUUUGCCAAAGUGAGUUGAAAAAUGUCAGCAGUUGUUCAGUGAGUUAUUUUAAACACGAGCCAGUGAACAAGCACAGUAGACCUGUUUUUAUAUCUCCUCUUUGUCUGUGUCACAGAGCUACCUCAGGUUAUAAACAUUUCUCAGAGAGCCCAUAGUGUACACAUUUAGAGGUUCCGAAUUGAUUUUGUGGGUCGAGUAGAAUGUUUACAAGUAUUCAUUUUCAAAAAACACAUUAUUUUAACAUGAGUAUUGGGAUGUAGCAGCAGCAGAAGAAGCUGCUCAUUCUUUGUUUGAGGCCAAACUAGCCACCAGGCAGGCGUUUUGUGUUACAUGGUGAUGUAGAUCAGUAACAGAAGAAAUAACUGCACUCUGAAUGAGAUAUUGUGAUAUGAUGAUAACAACAGAGCAGCCCCUUAUUCAUAUGAUUUCUGAAAACAGAAAUAUGUGAACUGGUGAUUCCAACACAAGAAUGAUCCAGGAUUAGAAAACAAAUGCGUUUAACCUGCUGUCUUUAGAUGCUCUGCCAAGGUGGUUGUUGAGUUGUGAUAUUAAAAAGUUUUUUGCAAAGUUUAUCUUCGAUUUUAACAAAAAUGCAACCACACCAUCAAGAUGACUUCUUCGACUUGGUAUCAGACUAUUUAGUUCAGCCACUGAACUGAAAAUGUUUUCCUGUUCUUUUUUAGACUUGUCGUUCUUUAACAUCUGGGCUAGUUUCAUUCUUAAACCUACUGCUGAGUUUUUCUUAUCUUAAAAUGGAUGUUUGACCACACACAGCAGUGAGCAUGACUGAUAAAAUGCUGUAGAGUGAAUUUAUCUGACAAAAAUCUGAGUAUUUUUCUGUUUUUUCUCACUAUUCAGUAACAGACACAUCAAUAAUGCUUGAGUACUUGGAACCCAAAAUGUGAAAACGGAUUUCAUACUAAGUUCUGUUAUUAUUUUCCUUUGGUGCCUGCUCAAACCUCUGGAUGGUGUAAAACAAUUCUCACUGCAAGAAAACCCUUGUUUUUAUUAUUUUACAGUGGAAAGUUAGUUGCUUUGUGUGAAUGCUUUUUGACACUUGUGUCUGUUGAGCAGGUUCAUUUUUUGAGAUAGAAAACAAACUACUACUUUCCAAUUAAGCUGUUUAUUUUCUUCCAUCAGUGUCUCAAAAGAAUCUUGAUCAAGGACCUUUUCUGUCUGGAACAGCCUCCCAGAAAAUGACAAAGUCUGAUAUGAACAGAACAUUUUAUACCGUAUUGUGAAAUGUGAUUGGUUAUUGAACACAAACAUAUCAUUCAAAUAUUGAACAGUGAUUGGCUAAAGGUGGGGAUAACCGUGGUGUAGACUUAGCUCUCCCAUUGGUUGGUGCACAGAUACGUCCAUAUCUCUGGCACACGAUUCAUCCAAUCUCCAGGAACCAUCCUGUAAAAGAACCUCCUAGAACCCUCUUCCCUCUCUCUACCUGUCAGUCUUAUUCCUCUGUUAACUGAGAUGUGAUGCAGCUGCUGGUGGUGUCUCAUAGGGAGGAUUAUUAUGGUUUCCACUCUUAAACAACCUUGAGUUUAGCGGUUUCAGUAAAAUUAGUUGUUUCAUUAUAAGGACAUAGGAAUGUGCUGUGUGUGUGAAAACACUCUUUGUACUAGUGUGUGUGUGUGUGUGUGUGUGUGUGUGUGUGUGUGUGUGUGUGUGUGUGUGUGUGUGUGUGUGUGUGUGUGUGUGUGUGUGUGUGUGUGUGUGUGUGUGUGUGUGUGUGUGUGUGUGUGUGUGUGUGUGUGUGUGUGUGUGCGCGCAGCUGUAGCUUUCCAGCCUGACCUGUGUGUAUCCAUCAUGUAUUUAACCCUUCAGAGCCUGGGGUUAAUGCUCUCUCUCUAUUCAGGUCAACACAACUCAUACAUUAAUUACACAACAAAUGGUUAUUAAUAUUGUAAUGUCUGUAUAUCUUAUAUAGACAUAAAAUAUAAUGAGGCGAAACGAGAGUGGUGUCUUUCAAUGUGUUUACUUCUGAACUGCCAGACCAGACUGCCAAACAUGGGGUAACAGGCAUCCCAUAAUACCUUGCGCAGGUACUUCUUAAAGUGACCAUAACACUGUUUUAUACAUUACAAAUAUCAAUAUUGUAUUACUCAUAUGUGACAUCAAGUUCAGUGUUCAGCUAGCAGUGCCUUAAAAAAAUAAAUCCUAACAUGUCCUUG
Molecule: long non-coding RNA, 2891 nt
Organism: Amphiprion ocellaris (clown anemonefish)
Lineage: Eukaryota; Metazoa; Chordata; Actinopteri; Pomacentridae
Exons: 3
Source: RefSeq, a predicted model, not a curated record